This 477-nucleotide long non-coding RNA is filed under the name Populus trichocarpa (black cottonwood). RNAcentral describes it as "long non-coding RNA (PTRI_LNC002322)". Lineage: Eukaryota; Viridiplantae; Streptophyta; Magnoliopsida; Malpighiales; Salicaceae. The record is from RNAcentral.
GAAAAUGCUUUGUUGCCUAUGGCAUUCCGAUCCUAGUUGGGCCAGCUCUAUAUCUUCUGCUCCAAAUAAUUAGAGUUUGAUUACCCAUUUCUUAAGAGAUUAUUGUCAUUACUUAAUACAGUCGAUGGGUUAAUUAUACUUCAAAGUGUAAUCUUCUUGCCCUGUCCUUUUUUUUGUUUGGGUUAGAAGGCCACUGGGUUCAUAAGUUGACAGCAGACUAAUAAUUCCUCUCCUCCCUUGAGAAAACAACAUUCAAUUUCAGGUUACUUGGUAUUACCAACUAGAAUAACUGGCAUCCCCAACAGAAGUUACUUUCUAGUGGCAUUUCCAUUCUCUCCCUCCCAUUAUACCUGGGGAUGGGCCCUCAUGAAGGGAGAAACUCACUAUUUAGGCUUCGUGAGGAAACGGGCCAGGAUAUAAGCCUUUUCUUUUAUUUCUUUCCUUUUCUCUUUACAGGGAUACUAGUUUAAAGUCCGC